Molecule: ribosomal RNA, 605 nt
Filed under: Psilenchus vinciguerrae
Lineage: Eukaryota; Metazoa; Nematoda; Chromadorea; Rhabditida; Tylenchidae
Description: eukaryotic LSU rRNA
Rfam family: Eukaryotic large subunit ribosomal RNA
Source: RNAcentral
GGAAACGGAUAGAGCUAGCGUAUCCAGUCUGUAUUCAGCUGUUCUGGCACGAGUUGCCGGCUCUUCGGUCCAGAGCAAUGGUCGAUUGGUCGGUUCUUCUUGUGCAGGCGCAGUGCAUUUGCAGGCAGAGUGCGCUGAGGCGCGUGAGGUAGUGGCUUGAAGCGUGCUUUGAGAAUAAUCUUCGGAUUAAAACCCGGGCGCGUCUAGAACUAUUUACUUUGCAUGUAGCUUGGAACAUGGCCUACGGGUGUUGGCCAGGUUUGGUUGGUCGUUGGUAACGGUCGCAUGCGACACGUGCCAGUGGCUGGCUUUACUUGGUCCGGACUCACAUGUUCAUCCUCGGUGUAAAAGCUAGUCAUCUAUCCGACUCGUCUUGAAACACGGACCAAGGAGUUUAGCGUAUGCGCGAGUCAUUGAGUGUGAAAACUCAAAGGCACAAUGAAAGUAAAGGUAUCUUCUGAUACUGAUAUGCGAUAUUGUACACCAUGGUGUGCAUUAGCAGCAUAGCCCCGUCUCGAUCGCUUGCGAUGAGGCGGAGGUAGAGCGUAUUCGCUGAGACCCGAAAGAUGGUGAACUAUUCCUGAGCAGGAUGAAGCCAGUGGAAA